This 72-nucleotide transfer RNA is filed under the name Stenamma muralla. RNAcentral's name for it is "tRNA-Leu". The record is from RNAcentral. Lineage: Eukaryota; Metazoa; Arthropoda; Insecta; Hymenoptera; Formicidae.
AUUACUUUGGCAGAUUAGUGUGUUAAAUUUAGAAUUUAGGUAAGUAUAAGUAAUAAAAUUAUAUAAGUAAUA